This 963-nucleotide long non-coding RNA is filed under the name Oryctolagus cuniculus (rabbit). Its description in RNAcentral is "lncRNA (ENSOCUG00000037115.1)". The record is from RNAcentral. Lineage: Eukaryota; Metazoa; Chordata; Mammalia; Lagomorpha; Leporidae.
AAUUGGUUACUAGUUGUUGGCAAAGAAAUCUCAAGAGCAUUUUUAGUAUGGUGAUAUAAUUCCAGACAAAAUGAAAAUUCUCAGUAACUCUUAUUACGGAACAAUCCCUUAAUCUCUGUACGCAUAGCCAACAAAAGAUGUCAGAUUUCACUUUUUCUGUUCUUAUUUUGUCCAGGAGUUUGUAAAAAGAAUGUCAAAGAAGCAGUGUUUUUUGUAUGAGGACAAGUUCGGGUUCAGUUUAUACUACAAUAGCAGCCAAAUGAAAUGGGUGUGGCUAGAUGGUUCAGCUUUUAUUCUGGACAAGCUUCAAUUAAAGAGACCUAACACACCCAAUAAUCAAUGCAAGUAUAUUAAAAAUGGCCAAGUAAUUGAUGGGAGCUGUCAAGAGAACAGUCAUUGUAUAUGUAAGAAGACAGCAUAUGGAGAUUAAAUUUUUAGAAUCAUGAAAAAAGCCAAGAUAAUUUUUCAUCACCUUAUUUAAGAAGUCAUUUAUUUACCUAACACAUGUAUUUUUGAAGUGUCAUGUCCUAUACAAUAUUAUUUGUAGUAAAUAUAUCAAUUUAUUUUAAGCAUAUUACUCCAAAGACUCAAACAUAUGCUAUAUCAAUAACGAAGGACUUGGAGCUGGUGCAGUGGCACAGUGGGUUAAUUCUCCACCUGGGGCACUGGCAUCCCAUAUGGGUGCCAGUUCUAGUCCCGGCUGCUCCUCUUCCAAUCCAGCUCUCUGCAAUGGCCUAGAAAAGCAGUAGAAGAUGGCCCAAGUCCUUGGACCCUUGUACCCGCGUGGGAGACCUGGGAAGAAGCUCCUGUCUACUGGCUUUGGAUCGGCACAGCUCUGGCUGUUGCAGCUGUUUGGGGCAUUAACCAGUGGAAGGAAGACUUUUCUCUCUGUCUCUCCCUCUCACUGUCUGUAACUCUCUUUCUCCAAAUAAAUAAAUAAAAUCUUUAAGAAAUAAUGAAGGA